This is a non-coding RNA of Ceratotherium simum simum (southern white rhinoceros), 295 nucleotides long. NCBI's taxonomy places the organism in Eukaryota, Metazoa, Chordata, Mammalia, Perissodactyla, Rhinocerotidae. The record is from RefSeq and is a predicted model, not a curated record.
CUCCUUUGUAAAUUUUGUCCAAAGGCUGGCUACUCUUGUGGUUAUAUCUCCAGCAACCAAGAUUUAGCCAAGUUUUUUUAAAGUUAGGAUUUUCUUUGCCCUUAUGCUGUAAUGUUCAACACUUAGUGUUACCAUCCUAUGACUGGGUAUUUGGUGAAAACACAUUAUUUUGAAAAUUUGCCUGUAUUUUAUGAAUGGACUUUAAUUUGAAGAUGGGAGUCCAAGCCCUGAGUCUUCCCCCAAAUGGUUGUGUGAUCUUAGAUACGGAACUUAAAUUCUUUGGACCACAAUGUCC